This 897-nucleotide small RNA is filed under the name uncultured fungus. RNAcentral's name for it is "eukaryotic LSU rRNA". The stretch from base 464 to 897 matches the Rfam family "Eukaryotic large subunit ribosomal RNA", at positions 1 to 429 of the family's 3401-position model. The record is from RNAcentral. Lineage: Eukaryota; Fungi.
UCCGUAGGUGAACCUGCGGAAGGAUCAUUAAUAGUGCCCUCUGAUGCAAAUCAUUGGGUUAGAUCUGCUCUCUUCGCAAGAAGAGGGUUUCCAUACACACCGUGAACUGUGGCUUCGGCCAUCACAAACUGUUAGUAAUGAAUGUAAUAUCAUAACAAAAACAAAACUUUUAACAACGGAUCUCUUAGCUCUCGCAUCGAUGAAGAACGCAGCGAAAUGCGAUAAGUAAUGUGAAUUGCAGAAUUCAGUGAAUCAUCGAAUCUUUGAACGCACCUUGCGCCCUUUGGUAUUCCGAAGGGCAUGCCUGUUUGAGUGUCAUGAAACCUCACCCCACUUGGGUUUUUGCCUGAGCGGUGGUGUAUUGGGUGUUGCCUUGCUAAAGGCUCGCCUUAAAGACAUAAGCACCUUGGAUGUAAUACGUUUCAUCCUUCUGGGUGGCUGAUAACCCCACAUAUUCAUGAUCUGGCCUCAAAUCAGGUAGGGCUACCCGCUGAACUUAAGCAUAUCAAUAAGCGGAGGAAAAGAAACUAACUAGGAUUCCCUUAGUAACGGCGAGUGAACCGGGAUGAGCUCAAAUUUAAAAUCUGGCGUCUUUCAGGCGUCCGAGUUGUAAUCUAUAGAGGCGUUUUCCGCGCCGGACCGCGUCCAAGUCUCUUGGAAUGGAGUAUCAAAGAGGGUGACAAUCACGUACUUGACGCGACAACCGGUGCUCUGUGAUACGUUCUCAAUGAGUCGAGUUGUUUGGGAAUGCAGCUCUAAAUGGGUGGUAAAUUCCAUCUAAGGCUAAAUAUUGGCGAGAGACCGAUAGCGAACAAGUACCGUGAGGGAAAGAUGAAAAGCACUUUGGAAAGAGAGUUAAACAGCACGUGAAAUUGUUAAAAGGGAAACGCUUGAAGU